CACCAUUGGAUGAGCCUGCACUUGAUUAGUUCGUUGGUGGGGUAAUGGCCUACCAAGACGGUGAUCAAUAGCUGAUUUGAGAGGAUGAUCAGCCACAUUGGGACUGAGACACGGCCCAGACUCCUACGGGAGGCAGCAGUAAGGAAUCUUGCACAAUGGAGGAAACUCUGAUGCAGCGAUGCCGCGUGAGUGAAGAAGGCCCUUGGGUUGUAAAGCUCUUUCGUCGGGGAAGAAAAUGACUGUACCCGAGUCAGAAGUCCUAAG
RNAcentral lists this ribosomal RNA (264 nucleotides) under uncultured bacterium KC308. Its description in RNAcentral is "partial 16S rRNA". It matches the Rfam family "Bacterial small subunit ribosomal RNA", at positions 216 to 497 of the family's 1533-position model. Lineage: Bacteria; Pseudomonadati; Pseudomonadota; Alphaproteobacteria. The record is from RNAcentral.